UGCAAGUCGAACGAAGUAGCAAUACUUAGUGGCAGACGGGUGAGUAACAUGUAGGUAUCUACCCUGUGGCCUGGAAUAACACGAGGAAACUUGUGCUAAUACCGGAUAAGUCUUUACGGAGAAAGCUUUAUGCACCAUUGGAUGAGCCUGCACUUGAUUAGUUUGUUGGUGGGGUAAUGGCCUACCAAGACUGUGAUCAAUAGCUGAUUUGAGAGGAUGAUCAGCCACAUUGGGACUGAGACACGGCCCAAACUCCUACGGGAGGCAGCAGUGGGGAAUCUUGCACAAUGGAGGAAACUCUGAUGCAGCGAUGCCGCGUGAGUGAAGAAGGCCUUUGGGUUGUAAAGCUCCUUCGUCGGGGAAGAAAAUGACUGUACCCGAAUAAGAAGGUCCGGCUAACUUCGUGCCAGCAGCCGCGGUAAUACGAAGGGACCUAGCGUAGUUCGGAAUUACUGGGCUUAAAGAGUUCGUAGGUGGUUGAAAAAGUUAGUGGUGAAAUCCCAGAGCUUAACUCUGGAACUGCCAUUNAAACUUUUCAGCUAGAGUAUGAUAGAGGAAAGCAGAAUUUCUAGUGUAGAGGUGAUAUUCGUAGAUAUUAGAAAGAAUACCAAUUGCGAAGGCAGCUUUCUGGAUCAUUACUGACACUG
Molecule: ribosomal RNA, 647 nt
Filed under: uncultured bacterium
Lineage: Bacteria
Description: bacterial SSU rRNA
Rfam family: Bacterial small subunit ribosomal RNA
Source: RNAcentral